This 1071-nucleotide ribosomal RNA is filed under the name uncultured Basidiomycota. RNAcentral's name for it is "eukaryotic LSU rRNA". The stretch from base 383 to 1071 matches the Rfam family "Eukaryotic large subunit ribosomal RNA", at positions 1 to 664 of the family's 3401-position model. The record is from RNAcentral. Lineage: Eukaryota; Fungi; Basidiomycota.
AUCGAUGAAGAACGCAGCGAAAUGCGAUACGUAAUGUGAAUUGCAGAAUUCAGUGAAUCAUCGAAUCUUUGAACGCACCUUGCGCCCCUUGGUAUUCCGAGGGGCACACCCGUUUGAGUGUCGUGAAAAUCUCAACCUUCUCGGUUUCUUCUGAACACCGAAGGAGGCUUGGACUUUGGAGGCCUUUGCUGGUGUCUCUCACCAGCUCCUCUCAAAUGAAUUAGCGGGGUCCUCUUUGCCGAUCCUCGACAUGUGAUAAGAUGUUUCCAUGUCUUGGCUUUAUGGCUCUGUUGCCUUUGGGACCCGCUUCUAACCGUCUCAGCGAGACAACGUUCGAGCGUGUCUCCCCUCUCGGGGAAACACUCUUGAACCCACGAAACCUUGACCUCAAAUCGGGUGAGACUACCCGCUGAACUUAAGCAUAUCAAUAAGCGGAGGAAAAGAAACUAACAAGGAUUCCCCUAGUAACUGCGAGUGAAGCGGGAAAAGCUCAAAUUUAAAAUCUGGCGGCCUUUGGCCGCCCGAGUUGUAAUUUAGAGAAGCGUCUUCCGCGCCAGUCCGUGCACAAGUCUCCUGGAAUGGAGCGUCAUAGAGGGUGAGAAUCCCGUCUUUGGCAUGGAUACCCGGUGCUUCUGUGAUGCGCUCUCGAAGAGUCGAGUUGUUUGGGAAUGCAGCUCAAAAUGGGUGGUGAACUCCAUCUAAAGCUAAAUAUUGGCGAGAGACCGAUAGCGAACAAGUACCGUGAGGGAAAGAUGAAAAGCACUUUGGAAAGAGAGUGAAACAGUACGUGAAAUUGUUGAAAGGGAAACGCUUGAAGUCAGUCGCGUCGACCGAGACUCAGCCUUGCCUUGGCUUGGUGUACUUCUCGGCCCGACGGGUCAGCGUCAAUUUUGCCCCUCGGAUAAUGGCAAGGGAAAGGUGGCACCUUUACGGGUGUGUUAUAGUCUCCUGUCGCAUGCGAGGGGUGGGAUUGAGGAACUCAGCGCGCACCUUUGGUGUCGGGGCUUCUGCCCACGUCACGCGCUUAGGAUGCUGGCGUAAUGGCUUUAAACGACCCGUCUUGAAACACGG